This 92-nucleotide ribosomal RNA is filed under the name Paenibacillus odorifer. The record is from RNAcentral. Lineage: Bacteria; Bacillati; Bacillota; Bacilli; Caryophanales; Paenibacillaceae.
CACACGUACCCAUCCCGAACACGACCGUUAAGCCCUCCAGCGCCGAUGGUACUUGGACCGAAGGGUCCUGGGAGAGUAGGACGCCGCCAAGC